Molecule: ribosomal RNA, 470 nt
Filed under: uncultured Chloroflexota bacterium
Lineage: Bacteria; Bacillati; Chloroflexota
Description: bacterial SSU rRNA
Rfam family: Bacterial small subunit ribosomal RNA
Source: RNAcentral
AGGCAGCAGCAGGGAAUCUUGGGCAAUGGGCGAAAGCCUGACCCAGCGACGUCGCGUGGGGGACGAAGGCCUUAGGGUUGUAAACCCCUUUUCUGAGGGAAGAUACAAGACGGUACCUCGGGAAUAAGCCCCGGCUAACUACGUGCCAGCAGCCGCGGUAAUACGUAGGGGGCAAGCGUUACCCGGAAUCACUGGGCGUAAAGUGCGCGUAGGCGGUUGGAUAAGUCUCUUGUGAAAGCUCCCGGCUCAACUGGGAGAGGUCAAGGGAUACUAUUUGACUAGAGGAUAGCAGAGGUAAGCAGAAUUCCCGGUGUAGCGGUGGAAUGCGUAGAUAUCGGGAGGAAUACCAGUGGCGAAAGCGGCUUACUGGGCUAUAUCUGACGCUGAGGCGCGAAAGCGUGGGGAGCAAACUGGAUUAGAUACCCAGGUAGUCCACGCCCUAAACGAAGGAUACUAGGUAUGGGGGGUAU